RNAcentral lists this small nucleolar RNA (115 nucleotides) under Octodon degus (degu). RNAcentral's name for it is "Small nucleolar RNA SNORA1 (ENSODEG00000020632.1)". It matches the Rfam family "Small nucleolar RNA SNORA1". From Rfam's summary of the family: ACA1 is a member of the H/ACA class of snoRNA that guide the sites of modification of uridines to pseudouridines. The record is from Rfam by way of RNAcentral. Lineage: Eukaryota; Metazoa; Chordata; Mammalia; Rodentia; Octodontidae.
AAUCUCUAGAAUGGGCACUGUUGAUUGGUGUCCAGAAUUGAUCAAUGUGGAAACACAGGUCAUGUUUCCAUCACAGUAAAUAUUUACAGUGGUGACAGUGAGGCCUAUAAUAUUU